This 539-nucleotide ribosomal RNA is filed under the name uncultured bacterium. RNAcentral's name for it is "partial 16S ribosomal RNA". It matches the Rfam family "Bacterial small subunit ribosomal RNA", at positions 355 to 902 of the family's 1533-position model. The record is from RNAcentral.
UGGGGAAUAUUGCACAAUGGGCGAAAGCCUGAUGCAGCAACGCCGCGUGAGUGAUGAAGGCCUUCGGGUUGUAAAGCUCUGUCUUUUGGGACGAUAAUGACGGUACCAAAGGAGGAAGCCACGGCUAACUACGUGCCAGCAGCCGCGGUAAUACGUAGGUGGCAAGCGUUGUCCGGAUUUACUGGGCGUAAAGGAUGCGUAGGCGGAUUUUUAAGUGAGAUGUGAAAAACCCUAAGCUUAACUUGGGGACUGCAUUUCAAUACUGGGAAAUCUAGAGUGCGGGAGAGGAGAAAUGGAAUUCCUAGUGUAGCGGUGAAAUGCGUAAGAGAUUAGGAAGAACACCAGUGGCGAAGGCGAUUCUCUGGACCGUAACUGACGCUGAGGCAUGAAAAGCGUGGGUAGCAAACAGGGAUUAGAUACCCUGGUAGUCCACGCCGUAAACGAUGAGUACUAGGUGUAGGAGGUAUCGACCCCUUCUGUGCCGCAGUUAACACAAUAAGUACUCCGCCUGGGAAGUACGAUCGCAAGAUUAAAAACUC